This 453-nucleotide long non-coding RNA is filed under the name Elaeis guineensis (African oil palm). RNAcentral's name for it is "long non-coding RNA (EGUI_LNC048372)". Lineage: Eukaryota; Viridiplantae; Streptophyta; Magnoliopsida; Arecales; Arecaceae. The record is from RNAcentral.
UCUGUUUCCAGAGCACUGAACGUACUUGAUUCCAUCAGACUCACCCUUUCUGUUCAGUCCUUAGCCUCUCAGUGUUCUCAGCCUCCCAGUUCAUCUCGCUCUCUUGCUCGUGCCAGAGGCAGACGGGGUAGAGGACGCACUUCUGAUCCAUCAGCUUCUCAUCUCAUAUCUGAUGACUCCGAUCCAUGACUUCUCAUGAUCAUUACUAGAUCUUAGGUGUUAGUAUCUUGUUCUAGGAUCUGUAUUUUAGGGCCAUGUAUUGACAAUUAGCUGGUUGACUUUUAUAUUAAGAACUAUGUAUUGAAAUAGUUAUGAUUUUAUGGUAUCAUCUUUUACUUAUAUUUCUACCUUUUGUAAUGAUGACGAUCAUAUUUUGGUUAUAUAUAUUCUCCUUGUUGAAAUAUUAUCUUCUCUUUGUUAUUGUUUGCUGUUAAUAAUUGCUGUAUUAAGGGG